AUUGAACGCUGGCGGCAGGCCUAACACAUGCAAGUCGAACGGUAACAGGAAGAAGCUUGCUUCUUUGCUGACGAGUGGCGGACGGGUGAGUAAUGUCUGGGAAACUGCCUGAUGGAGGGGGAUAACUACUGGAAACGGUAGCUAAUACCGCAUAACGUCGCAAGACCAAAGAGGGGGACCUCCGGGCCUCUUGCCAUCGGAUGUGCCCAGAUGGGAUUAGCUAGUAGGUGGGGUAACGGCUCACCUAGGCGCCGAUCCCUAGCUGGUCUGAGAGGAUGACCAGCCACACUGGAACUGAGACACGGUCCAGACUCCUACGGGAGGAAGCAGUGGGGAAUAUUGCACAAUGGGCGCAAGCCUGAUGCAGCCAUGCCGCGUGUAUGAAGAAGGCCUUCGGGUUGUAAAGUACUUUCGGCGGGGAGGAAGGGAGUAAAGUUAAUACCUUUGCUCAUUGACGUUACCCGCAGAAGAAGCACCGGCUAACUCCGUG
RNAcentral lists this ribosomal RNA (490 nucleotides) under uncultured bacterium. RNAcentral's name for it is "partial 16S ribosomal RNA". It matches the Rfam family "Bacterial small subunit ribosomal RNA", at positions 30 to 507 of the family's 1533-position model. The record is from RNAcentral.